RNAcentral lists this long non-coding RNA (287 nucleotides) under Lathyrus oleraceus (garden pea). RNAcentral's name for it is "Pisum sativum (pea) long non-coding RNA (PSAT_LNC015055)". The record is from RNAcentral. Lineage: Eukaryota; Viridiplantae; Streptophyta; Magnoliopsida; Fabales; Fabaceae.
UGAUCAAGAUGAACUAGAUUUGAAUCAAGGAAGAUUAAGCCUCCCUAAUCAAUGCUAACUUAUCAACCUUUAACUCAUUGAUCAAAAAGAAAAAAGAAGAAGAAGAAGAAGAGAGAUGAAUAAUGGAAAGGGAAAUGGAAAGAAUAAAGUGCAUAAGGUGAAAUAAAAUGUACCAAUUCAUGUGUAUUGACCAAAUGAAAUUGAAAGUCAAAGUCAAACAAUGAGAAAUCAAAAAUGAGAUGAAGAUUGGAGGUCAAACCAUAAGCAAAAUAUUUUUGGCAUUUUCA